Molecule: ribosomal RNA, 504 nt
Filed under: uncultured bacterium
Lineage: Bacteria
Description: bacterial SSU rRNA
Rfam family: Bacterial small subunit ribosomal RNA
Source: RNAcentral
CAGGAUGAACGCUAGCUACAGGCUUAACACAUGCAAGUCGAGGGGCAGCAUGAUCGAAGCUUGCUUUGAUUGAUGGCGACCGGCGCACGGGUGAGUAACGCGUAUCCAACCUUCCCUGUAGUAGAGAAUAGCCCGGCGAAAGUCGGAUUAAUGCUCUAUGUUGUAUUUCGAUGACAUCUGAAGAAUACCAAAGGUUUACCGCUAUAGGAUGGGGAUGCGUCUGAUUAGGUUGUUGGCGGGUAACGGCCCACCAAGCCGACGAUCAGUAGGGGUUCUGAGAGGAAGGUCCCCCACAUUGGAACUGAGACACGGUCCAAACUCCUACGGGAGGCAGCAGUGAGGAAUAUUGGUCAAUGGACGGAAGUCUGAACCAGCCAAGUAGCCGUGCAGGAUGACGGCCCUAUGGGUUGUAAACUGCUUUUAUAUAGGGAUAAAGUCGGGGACGUGUCCCCGUUUGUAGGUACUAUAUGAAUAAGGACCGGCUAAUUCCGUGCCAGCCGCAGC